RNAcentral lists this ribosomal RNA (253 nucleotides) under uncultured bacterium. Its description in RNAcentral is "partial 16S ribosomal RNA". It matches the Rfam family "Bacterial small subunit ribosomal RNA", at positions 524 to 776 of the family's 1533-position model. The record is from RNAcentral.
CACGUAGGGGACGAGCGUUGUUCGGAAUCACUGGGCGUAAAGGGUGCGUAGGUGGCGUGGUAAGUCAGAUGUGAAAGCCCAGGGCUCAACCCUGGAACUGCAUCCGAUACUGCCAUGCUAGAGAACUGAAGAGGAGUGUAGAAUUCUCGGUGUAGCAGUGAAAUGCGUAGAUAUCGAGAGGAAUACCAACGGCGAAGGCAGCACUCUGGGCAGUUUCUGACACUGAGGCACGAAGGCUAGGGGAGCAAACGGG